This 1028-nucleotide ribosomal RNA is filed under the name Priestia megaterium. RNAcentral describes it as "bacterial SSU rRNA". It matches the Rfam family "Bacterial small subunit ribosomal RNA", at positions 40 to 1057 of the family's 1533-position model. Lineage: Bacteria; Bacillati; Bacillota; Bacilli; Caryophanales; Bacillaceae. The record is from RNAcentral.
GGGCGCGUGCUAUACUGCAAGUCGAGCGAACUGAUUAGAAGCUUGCUUCUAUGACGUUAGCGGCGGACGGGUGAGUAACACGUGGGCAACCUGCCUGUAAGACUGGGAUAACUUCGGGAAACCGAAGCUAAUACCGGAUAGGAUCUUCUCCUUCAUGGGAGAUGAUUGAAAGAUGGUUUCGGCUAUCACUUACAGAUGGGCCCGCGGUGCAUUAGCUAGUUGGUGAGGUAACGGCUCACCAAGGCAACGAUGCAUAGCCGACCUGAGAGGGUGAUCGGCCACACUGGGACUGAGACACGGCCCAGACUCCUACGGGAGGCAGCAGUAGGGAAUCUUCCGCAAUGGACGAAAGUCUGACGGAGCAACGCCGCGUGAGUGAUGAAGGCUUUCGGGUCGUAAAACUCUGUUGUUAGGGAAGAACAAGUACGAGAGUAACUGCUUGUACCUUGACGGUACCUAACCAGAAAGCCACGGCUAACUACGUGCCAGCAGCCGCGGUAAUACGUAGGUGGCAAGCGUUAUCCGGAAUUAUUGGGCGUAAAGCGCGCGCAGGCGGUUUCUUAAGUCUGAUGUGAAAGCCCACGGCUCAACCGUGGAGGGUCAUUGGAAACUGGGGAACUUGAGUGCAGAAGAGAAAAGCGGAAUUCCACGUGUAGCGGUGAAAUGCGUAGAGAUGUGGAGGAACACCAGUGGCGAAGGCGGCUUUUUGGUCUGUAACUGACGCUGAGGCGCGAAAGCGUGGGGAGCAAACAGGAUUAGAUACCCUGGUAGUCCACGCCGUAAACGAUGAGUGCUAAGUGUUAGAGGGUUUCCGCCCUUUAGUGCUGCAGCUAACGCAUUAAGCACUCCGCCUGGGGAGUACGGUCGCAAGACUGAAACUCAAAGGAAUUGACGGGGGCCCGCACAAGCGGUGGAGCAUGUGGUUAAUUCGAAGAACGCGAAGACCUUACCAGGUCUUGACUCCUCUGACACUCUAGAGAUAGAGCGUCCCCUUCGGGGACGAAUGACGGGUGGGGAUGGUUGCCUCA